UCACUCAGUGCUGUGUAUAAAUUCACACGCAGCUUCCUUUGCCGUGUUGGGCAAGGAAAGGAGUGGCUUUAAUCUCUUUUUUUUUUCGUAUUUUGAGGAUAUUCGCAGAUAAUUCGAGUGUCAAACGGACCGGUAAAGAGUUUCCAAGUACAAUGAAGGUUGCUGCAGCUCUUUGGUGUCUCCAAGUUUAUUUGGCUGUCUUUAUUCUUGACACGACCAACUCAUCUGCCACCUAUCGCUGCGGAGUGAGCCCAAAUGAAGUGAUAAUAGUCGUAGUAAACGACGCUAAUUACGCGAACACGUACAUCGCGGAUUAUAAAGAUGACCCCAACUGUCAACCAAAGUUUAUUGGCUCACAAUCAAACUGGACUCAUGCGACAUUCACACUGGCAGAAAACUCCUGUGGAAUGACAU
Molecule: long non-coding RNA, 414 nt
Organism: Lingula anatina
Lineage: Eukaryota; Metazoa; Brachiopoda; Lingulata; Lingulida; Lingulidae
Source: RefSeq, a predicted model, not a curated record